This 85-nucleotide transfer RNA is filed under the name Mariprofundaceae bacterium. RNAcentral's name for it is "tRNA-Leu". It matches the Rfam family "tRNA". Rfam says of the family: Transfer RNA (tRNA) molecules are approximately 80 nucleotides in length. Their secondary structure includes four short double-helical elements and three loops (D, anti-codon, and T loops). Lineage: Bacteria; Pseudomonadati; Pseudomonadota; Candidatius Mariprofundia; Mariprofundales; Mariprofundaceae. The record is from RNAcentral.
GCCAGAGUGGUGAAAUUGGUAGACACGCCACCUUGAGGGGGUGGUGAGGAAACUCGUGCUGGUUCGACUCCAGUCUCUGGUACCA